Long non-coding RNA from Esox lucius (northern pike), 4158 nucleotides. RefSeq lists it as uncharacterized. The record is from RefSeq and is a predicted model, not a curated record. The transcript is spliced from 3 exons. NCBI's taxonomy places the organism in Eukaryota, Metazoa, Chordata, Actinopteri, Esociformes, Esocidae.
GUCAUACACUUCAUAGAUGCUAUUUGUGGUGGAGGUAAACUUUAUAAGAAACGUUAGCCAGUUUAAUGAUGUCUAGCGAAAUAUUCAAACUUAGCGUAAUGUAAAUGCAUGACAAAAUGACAAAAGGCAUAGUGGUUCAAGACACAGCCUCUUACUUGGGAGACCCGAGUCCGAAUCCAGGGAGGCCAACUACAUUCAUCACUUCUAAUUGUGGGCCGGCUGAACUAGGCUUGCUUUUUUUUUUUUUUUUGUAAUCCGAUUACAAUGGGUCUAUUUUACCUAACAGAUUAUUAAAGCCUACUAUUUUUUGUACGGAUUACUUGUACAGAUUAUUUGUACAAGUUACUCCUCAACUCUGGGCAAAGAUAAUUACAGUGUCUGAAUUAAGCGCUUAUUUUUAGUAUUAGUUUGCAUAUUAGGACAGUUGAUUCUUUUCUCAUCACUUUUCUCUUGCCAUGAUACAUGUUCAGUUUUUUGUCAUCUACCCACAACACUGUUUUCCAGCACCCUUUUAGAUACUUUUGUAUCAAACUAUAACCUGGCUGUCCUGUUUCUGAGGCUGACUAGUGGUUUGCAUAUUGCAGUAUUGCCACUGUAGUUGUGCUGAUAACAGUGAUAGUCACAGUAACACCUCCAUGCCUUACUGGCCGGAAAAGUGUUCCUGAUCUAUCAGACAGUAUAUUUCUGGUCUUCCUUGGCUUACUAAAUCACACGAGAUAGCUGAGCUCUCUGGGGCAUUCCAUAUUUUAAAAGAUGUUCCAAACUGUUGUUUUUGGUAAGCCUGAUGUUUUAGGUAUAUGUUUAUGUCCACCACUAUGGGGAUUCCCCUGAUGAUACUGUUAGUCUGUGGCGAAGAGUGUGGGAUGCUGGGAGCAAUUGGGAUCUUCAUACUGUACAGGUUAAUUAGUCAGCUAGUCUGUUUAGAAUGAAGACUGUGUGUCGUCAGCUGUUAGGUGAUCAAGUUCAUAUUAAGUCUCACAAAACAGCUGCAACUAAGUACAAUGAAAAUUGGGGAUUUUAAUGAGAGUCAGCUGAGACCACUUUCUUAGGAGAGGCCCAUAUUGUAGAAAAGGAAUGCAUUGAAAACAUCUAAUUGUUUAGUCUCAGCAAAUGUGCUGAUCUUUUCAUUCAAUAAUACAGGGUUUCAAUGAAACUUCCUCAACAACCUGUGUGACCCCAGUGUUUUGCUAAUAUUAACUCAAGGGCUCUCUGUUUCCACUGGGAGUAUGACACUAUGGACUCCACUUGGAGUCAGGAGAGAGAAGGACAUUUUCAACAACCUGCUUUCAGGCUUCUUCACCAGGUGACGGGACAUCACUGGUGACCCUCAGAGACAAUAAAGUUCCUCCUUCUGAGACCCAGGUAUCAAACUAAUUUCUGCAUGCCUGGCUGACCUCUCUGCUUGGAUGAUGAACCACUGCAUCAAGCUCAAUCCCGCCAAGAGGGAACUGUUCUACCAGGAGGGUAGUUCUGUCUGUUCCAAGACUUCUCAGUCAGGGUCGACAACUUUACGGCAUUCCCCUCCGAAUGUGAAGAACCUUGCAGUAACCCAUGACAACACCCUGCUGUUCUGCGGAAACAUAAGGGAAUGAUUCCGCAGGUUCAAACUCCUGCAACUCAUUCUGAGAAAUAUGGAAUGGACAACAAACAUCUUAGUGAUCAAAGUAACUUUUUUGUGCAUAAGAUGUCUGUACACCAAUCAGCCCAAGCCGCAUCAUACCGGUAUGAGCCUGUUUGUGUGUCUGUGUGUGUGUGUGAAACCGUCAGUUGUCAGCUUUUGGUGGUGUAAAGAAUUGACAUGAAUAAUAAUACUGAUGGAAUGCCCUAGGCUGUCUGAAUAAUGUUUUUCUUCACAGUGUAUUUGUUAAUGAUUGUCGUUAAGCCUAGUCAUUAUAAAUAGUCAUGUAUAGGUUAAUGAAAACGUUAUGUAUGCUACAUGCUUUAUACACUGACGCAACAAGUUAAAUCAUGUUUUCCUCCCUACUGAACCCGCCCCUUCACAUGUUUUUCCGUGUUCUUCUGCAUUGGAGGUUGGUAAUGCUAUUCAGAAUACCACAGCCUGCAUGGUGUUAAAACUUCACAAGCUCUCCUAUGUCAACCCAUCCUGCAAACAUUAUACUGACUUCCAGUUGAAGCUCACAUCCAUCAGUUCAGAGAAAUAAGUAGUAGCAAUUCCAUGUAAUGCUUAAGUAAAACCUUAAAAUCAUCCCUCUUUAUGAGGGAGUCAGUGUAGACUUUGAGAUCUGAUCAGUUCAGACCUUACAGGAAACAUGAAGACAGUGUUAGUGCAAGUUAUACUUUCUACUAUAGUUUCCCACCAAUCUUAGCAUCUUAGCCUCAAGCCUCACAGCAGAAUAUUUGUUGCCGUGAAUGUGCUUUUUGUAAUUCUGAAAAUAAAAUACACAUGUAAUUCAAGUUUAAUCUAUACAAAUAUUAGAUUACCUAAUUGCAACUUUGCUAAAUGUAUUCACACUUCAUUUUAUAGGCUUGUAGAAUAUCAUUUAAGCACAGGCCUAAAGAAAACACCCUUGUAAAAAUAAGCUUGCACAGAUCUGAAUGUACAUAGACUUGCAAAAUAUGAUUAAAGAUUUGAAGAUCAAGCUUGUAUCCUUGGCCUUUAACAUACAGUUAUGGCCCUCAAUAUCCAACCAUGAAAGUUGACAUACAAGUUAUUUAAAAAAAGGAAAUGGGCUGGCCAUUCACAGUUCUCGUGAAAUGCUUUGGAAGAGUUAUGAAACAAGGUCUGAUAAUGCUUCUGAAAAUAUGGUUAAAGGAUUGAUGUGGUAAUUCUGAGCAUUGCUGUUUACAGAAACUCCAUCUGCAUGGCCCAUUGGAAUUUUAUUCUUUUGACUUUUCCUCACAAACCCAAUUGAUCACAUUAAAUCUUAUAUAUGCCAUACCAUACAAACAAUUGGGCAUCCUGAUUCAAGAAUGUUUGGCGAGACAGAUUUUCUCCCCCUGCUUUAUUCCAAAAUAGUAGUUAUGCAGUGAGUGGGAGGUUCACAGGUCCAUGUCCUCCUUGACUGAAGGAGCUGCAAACAGUGACUCACAGCCAAAUCAGAGUUUCAGGUACUUUCUGAAUUUUGCCCUUUAUUCUCUUUUUACUGGAAACAAACAUUUGGGAAAAAGAACAAUGUAUGAAUGCAAACGCAAAGUACACAUUUCUCCAAAUAUCUACAUGUAGCAAGCUGUCUAACUUGUUAUUACAUUUAUUAUCUUUGUCUGUUAACCAAGGAAAAAUCGUAAGUGUACAACUAUAUAUUAGCUACAGUGUUGUUUUGCGAAACUUGUAGUUAGCUUGUGCCACAGCAGAUUUUUCCCUAUCGUGAUGGCAGUUCAUAUGUAUGAAAACAGUGUUUUUGUGGAUAGAAAAGUAUUUUCAAGUGAACACAGUUUUUGUUUAAAUGGACAUUUCACCUUUGGGGACAUGUUUGAGAGAUUUCUAGGUGAGAUUUGUUUCACCCAUAAUUGGCAGUAUGAGUGCGAGAAUGGGACACAUUCUUGUACAUCAGAGUGUAUAUUGAAUGAAUAGAAGUCAUACUCCCCAUAACAUCUGGAAAACCGUCUCUUUGCGUUCAUACACCAUUCAUUCUGUACAUUGUAUAUAAGCUUAAGUGUUUUGAUCAGUCUUUUAACAGCUUAAAAGCAAAUUCAAUUAUUUUGCUGUCAUUCUGGCUUCUGAACGUAGAACAGAUGGUGGUGUCCUUCAUAGAACUAAAUCAUAUGUAGUGGAAAGUUUGAGAAAGCAUGAGUUCACUUGUUCUUGUUUUUCUCAGCUGUAGAACUGGGAUAACCACAAAGGUACCCUACUCAGCAAGUAUAACAUGUCAAUGUUCACAGCAGUGUUGACAAAGUAAUUGCCACUCCAAUGCCAGUUACAUUUUUUCCAAAAGACCUGAAAAAGUAGCCUAACUCUAAACUGUUGUUUAAUGGGUAUGUGCAGCAAAAUUUGCCCAUUUACUGUAUUUAUUCAACAUUUAAACUAUGAUUAUUGUAAUUUCUAUAACCGAAGUCAUCACCAUUUCUUUAGGUCCUUAUCUGAAAAUCCAGUCAUGUGAUCUGAGUCUGAAUCGCUUGGUUCUGAUUUUGUUUGUAAGACCUGAUGUCACAAUUGUGUCUCAUUUUAAUAAAUCCAAUGAUUUGCUUUUUAUACUUUUA